Hyla sarda is the source of this 1770-nucleotide long non-coding RNA. RefSeq lists it as uncharacterized. The record is from RefSeq and is a predicted model, not a curated record. The transcript has 3 exons. NCBI's taxonomy places the organism in Eukaryota, Metazoa, Chordata, Amphibia, Anura, Hylidae.
AGGUUUUGAUAAAUCUCCACCAUAGUACCUACUAUGAAGCAUGAAGGAAGCUCUGUUAUGUUUUGGGGUGGCUUUCCUGCAUCUGGAAUUUUGGAGCAAAAUGUGCUGCCCAGUGUUAGGAACCAUGGUGAUGAGUCCUCCAGAUAAUGACCCAAAACUUACAGCUAAAAAAAAAAAAAAGGGCAGGGCAAAGCAUUGGACUGUCCUGAAGUGGCCUCUUUGAGUCCUGAUCUGAAUCCUAUUAAACAUCAGUGGAAGGAGAUGAAACCUGCAGUCUGGAGAAGACACCAUUCACCCCUGAGACAGCGGAGCAGUAUCUUAUGAGGAGCGGGCAGAGAUACCGGGAGACAAGUGCAGAAGUCUCAUUAAGAGUCACAGGGAUUACAGUGAUCUCAAAAGGUUGUGCUACAAAUUAUUAAGUUUAGUGACUGUCAUUUUUGGUUAAUUUUUAUUCGUUAUUUAUUUUUUGUCAGUUUCAAGUCAUUUCAGGCAGCAUUGUGGGUUUUUCUGUCUUUACUGGAUGGGUACUAACAAUUGUCCACGUCUGUAUCUUCCAUAGUGUGUGAUGCAUAGUGAAAAAAUAAAAUGUCAAGAAUUACAGCAAAACAAGCUUCACAUUUACUCUGUAUGCCUUGGGGGUUUCUUUUAUGUACUAUUCUAAAAGGUUGAGGGUUACAAAUGAUCAUAGACAAUUUAAAGCUAUAUGUAUUAUAGUACUAAAUUACUGUAUAUAUUUAUAAUGCCUUUACAUAGUACAUUGCAAAAAAUCCACUAGACUCUCAAAACAAUUACUAAGGAACAUUUUAUUGACUGUUUGCAUCAAUAGAAGCUGAAGAAUAAAAUCCUUUAUACUAAAAGAGAUUAUCCAACAAUAGAAACACAGAGCUAAUUUCUUCCAAAAACAGCACCACCCUUGUUCUCAGUCUUACAUCCAUAAUUGCUAUGGACGUAAAAGCUUUCAUACCUGACUGUCUAUGAUAAAAAACAGACAAGAGGUUAAAAGAACUAUGGCCCGUGGUUCUGGAAAGCAGGCCUGCAUUCUUCUCAGCUAGUUCAGUGUCCUCUUACUGCUCAUCAGACUGACAAGUGCAACUGAUAAUAUUCAAUUUCACUGAAUAAAAAAGGAGAAACCCUUUCACCAUACAGCACAUGGAGGAAGAUGGCUAAGUAGUAGGAUGAAGUUCAUAUUGGAUUUCAGCUUGUUGAUCCUUUGUUUCCAUAACAGAUAAGUAUUGUAGAAAGGUUAUGCAAUAGAUAUUAACACUCAUUCUUGGACAAUAUAAGAUAGCUAUUAUCCAAGAGCUUGUUUGGUUGCCUUCAGAAGUUUAUGAAUCUUUGAUUUGUCCACAGAAAUAUUAGGCCUGUAACAGUGUGUGGUUGGAAACAUAAGUGGCACAUUAAACUGUGUGUAGGAAGGUGUUAAGGUUUCAGCAUUUGAAUGUCACUUUUCUAUGACUCAUUGCAGCCAUGAAUGGAUUCACCCCAUAAAUAAAGUUCUGCACAGUAGCACAUUGUAAUUUACAAAAAAAAUAUAUAAACUAAAAAAAACGUAGUUUUUAUUGAAAAGAAUUCAAUGUACAUUUUCUGCAUAUAAAAAAAAAUCUGUCAAAGAAAAUUGAAGGGGGUUAUAUCUAUAGAUAGAAAUAGAGCCAAUUUCUUUCAAAAACAGCACCACCCCUAUUCUAAGGCAGUGUGUGGUAUUACAACUUGGUUCCAUUCACCUCAAUAGAACUGAGCUGCAAUACCACACAAAACCCGAGGAAAGGUGUG